RNAcentral lists this ribosomal RNA (497 nucleotides) under uncultured bacterium. RNAcentral's name for it is "partial 16S ribosomal RNA". It matches the Rfam family "Bacterial small subunit ribosomal RNA", at positions 28 to 507 of the family's 1533-position model. The record is from RNAcentral.
GAUGAACGCUGGCGGCGUGCCUAAUACAUGCAAGUCGAGCGAACAGACGAGGAGCUUGCUCCUUCGACGUUAGCGGCGGACGGGUGAGUAACACGUAGGUAACCUACCUAUAAGACUGGGAUAACUUCGGGAAACCGUAGCUAAUACCGGAUAAUAUUUCGAACCGCAUGGUUCGAUAGUGAAAGAUGGCUUUGCUAUCACUUAUAGAUGGACCUGCGCCGUAUUAGCUAGUUGGUAAGGUAACGGCUUACCAAGGCAACGAUACGUAGCCGACCGGAGAGGGGGAUCGGCCACACUGGAACUGAGACACGGUCCAGACUCCUACGGGACGCAGCAGUAGGGAAUCUGCCGCAAUGGGCGAAAGCCUGACGGAGCAACGCCGCGUGAGUGAUGAAGGUCUUCGGAUCGUAAAACUCUGUUAUUAGGGAAGAACAAACGUGUAAGUAACUGUGCACGUCUUGACGGUACCUAAUCAGAAAGCCACGGCUAACUACGUG